Molecule: ribosomal RNA, 460 nt
Filed under: uncultured bacterium
Lineage: Bacteria
Description: partial 16S ribosomal RNA
Rfam family: Bacterial small subunit ribosomal RNA
Source: RNAcentral
CCUACGGGAGGCAGCAGUGAGGAAUAUUGGUCAAUGGACGGAAGUCUGAACCAGCAAUGCCGCGUGCAGGAAGACGGCUCUAUGAGUUGUAACCUGCUUUUGUACAAGGGUAAACCUGGAUACGUGUAUCCAGCUGAAAGUAUUGUACGAAUAAGGAUCGGCUAACUCCGUGCAAGCAGCAGCGGUAAUACGGAGGAUCCAAGCGUUAUCCGGAUUUAUUGGGGUUAAAGGGUGCGUAGGCGGAUUGAUAAGUUAGAGGUGAAAUACCAUGGCUUAACUCUGGAACUGCCUCUAAUACUGUUAAUCUAGAGAGUAGGUGCGGUAGGCGGAAUGUAUGGUGUAGCGGUGAAAUGCUUAGAGAUCAUACAGAACACCGAUUGCGAAGGCAGCCUACUAAUCUAUAUCUGACGUUGAGGCACGAAAGCGUGGGGAGCAAACAGGAUUAGAUACCCGUGUAGUC